This 301-nucleotide ribosomal RNA is filed under the name uncultured bacterium. Its description in RNAcentral is "partial 16S ribosomal RNA". It matches the Rfam family "Bacterial small subunit ribosomal RNA", at positions 509 to 807 of the family's 1533-position model. The record is from RNAcentral.
CAGUAGCCGCGGUAAUACGUAGGUGGCAAGCGUUGUCCGGAAUUAUUGGGCGUAGAGGGCUCGCAGGCGGUUUCUUAAGUCUGAUGUGAAAGCCCCCGGCUCAACCGGGGAGGGUCAUUGGAAACUGGGAAACUUGAGUGCAGAAGAGGAGAGUGGAGUUCCACGUGUAGCGGUGAAAUGCGUAAAGAUGUGGAGGAACACCAGUGGCGAAGGCGACUCUCUGGUCUGUAGCUGACGCUGAGGAGCGAAAGCGUGGGGAGCGAACAGGAUUAGAUACCCCUGUAGUCCCUGUCUCUUAUAC